Small nuclear RNA from Fukomys damarensis (Damara mole-rat), 107 nucleotides. Lineage: Eukaryota; Metazoa; Chordata; Mammalia; Rodentia; Bathyergidae. The record is from Ensembl.
GUCCUCAAUUUAGUAGCACAUAUACUAAAAUUGAAAUGAUACAGAGAGAAUUAGCAUGGCCCCUGCACAAGAAUGACACGCAAAACAGAUGACUGGAUAAAGAAAAU